Molecule: long non-coding RNA, 827 nt
Filed under: Phoenix dactylifera (date palm)
Lineage: Eukaryota; Viridiplantae; Streptophyta; Magnoliopsida; Arecales; Arecaceae
Description: long non-coding RNA (PDAC_LNC000168)
Source: RNAcentral
AAAAGAAAAAGGAAAGAAGGAAAAAAGAAAAGAAAAGAAAAAGAAAAGAAAAGAAAGGAAAAAAAAGGAAUAAAUAAAUAAAAGGAGGGUGGUUUACGGGUAUGAACCCGGAUCCGAACCCGAACCCGGGGUGCUAGACACUUCGGCAGGGUCGGCCCUGGGAGAAUGUUAAAAUUUAGGUUUUAUAUAUAUAUUGUGAUGAAUUUUAAAAGAAAAUAUGGUUUUUGAAUAUUAGGUUCUGCGAGGGAUUUGCGGAAUUAAUUGGAUUUGUUAUGGAUCGCGUUCGCAAGGUAAGUGAUGUAACCUCUUUACUAGAUUUAUCGGAAAAGUAAAUAUCUGUUUUAUGAAUCAAAUUAUUUGUGAUUACGAAUUUGAUGCAUGGAUUAUAUGUAUAUUUUUUUAGAAUAUUGUAUGACUCUGAUUGAACGUAUUUGCUUCUGGUUUGAAUUGUAUUUAAUUGCUCUGACAUUGUAUUUUUUCAGCUUGAAACACUGAACAUAAUGUAAGAAAAGAUAAUGACUUGAAAUAGAUUCAGACUUGCAGUCGAGCUAUAUUGAGGACCCUGCCAAUGGGGGCUAAUACAUUGGUACCGCAAGAAGAAUAGUCGGUGAUAUGACCCUGCCACAGGGAACAUGUGGUCAUAGUCCUUGGCUGUUGAGUUGAAUCUGGUAAAUUGAAAGAGGUUAAGAUAUGAACGAUAUUUGGUUUUGACUCUGUAUGUUUUUAUAACUGAAAUAUGAAAUAGAGAACUAAUUGAACUAUCGACCUGGCUAUGUUGAGGACCCCGCCAAUGGGGGCAGAUACGUUGGCAAUUGACUGUCCUGNNN